GAUGAACGCUGGCGGCGUGCCUAAUACAUGCAAGUCGAGCGAACGGACGAGAAGCUUGCUUCUCUGAUGUUAGCGGCGGACGGGUGAGUAACACGUGGAUAACCUACCUAUAAGACUGGGAUAACUUCGGGAAACCGGAGCUAAUACCGGAUAAUAUUUUGAACCGCAUGGUUCAAAAGUGAAAGACGGUCUUGCUGUCACUUAUAGAUGGAUCCGCGCUGCAUUAGCUAGUUGGUAAGGUAACGGCUUACCAAGGCAACGAUGCAUAGCCGACCUGAGAGGGUGAUCGGCCACACUGGAACUGAGACACGGUCCAGACUCCUACGGGAGGCAGCAGUAGGGAAUCUUCCGCAAUGGGCGAAAGCCUGACGGAGCAACGCCGCGUGAGUGAUGAAGGUCUUCGGAUCGUAAAACUCUGUUAUUAGGGAAGAACAUAUGUGUAAGUAACUGUGCACAUCUUGACGGUACCUAAUCAGAAAGCCACGGCUAACUACGUGCCAGCAGCCGCGGUAAUACGUAGGUGGCAAGCGUUAUCCGGAAUUAUUGGGCGUAAAGCGCGCGUAGGCGGUUUUUUAAGUCUGAUGUGAAAGCCCACGGCUCAACCGUGGAGGGUCAUUGGAAACUGGAAAACUUGAGUGCAGAAGAGGAAAGUGGAAUUCCAUGUGUAGCGGUGAAAUGCGCAGAGAUAUGGAGGAACACCAGUGGCGAAGGCGACUUUCUGGUCUGUAACUGACGCUGAUGUGCGAAAGCGUGGGGAUCAAACAGGAUUAGAUACCCUGGUAGUCCACGCCGUAAACGAUGAGUGCUAAGUGUUAGGGGGUUUCCGCCCCUUAGUGCUGCAGCUAACGCAUUAAGCACUCCGCCUGGGGAGUACGACCGCAAGGUUGAAACUCAAAGGAAUUGACGGGGACCCGCACAAGCGGUGGAGCAUGUGGUUUAAUUCGAAGCAACGCGAAGAACCUUACCAAAUCUUGACAUCCUUUGACAACUCUAGAGAUAGAGCUUUCCCCUUCGGGGGACAAAGUGACAGGUGGUGCAUGGUUGUCGUCAGCUCGUGUCGUGAGAUGUUGGGUUAAGUCCCGCAACGAGCGCAACCCUUAAGCUUAGUUGCCAUCAUUAAGUUGGGCACUCUAAGUUGACUGCCGGUGACAAACCGGAGGAAGGUGGGGAUGACGUCAAAUCAUCAUGCCCCUUAUGAUCUGGGCUACACACGUGCUACAAUGGACAAUACAAAGGGCAGCGAAACCGUGAGGUCAAGCAAAUCCCAUAAAGUUGUUCUCAGUUCGGACUGUAGUCUGCAACUCGACUACAUGAAGCUGGAAUCGCUAGUAAUCGUAGAUCAGCAUGCUACGGUGAAUACGUUCCCGGGUCU
This 1372-nucleotide ribosomal RNA is filed under the name uncultured bacterium. Its description in RNAcentral is "bacterial SSU rRNA". It matches the Rfam family "Bacterial small subunit ribosomal RNA", at positions 28 to 1381 of the family's 1533-position model. The record is from RNAcentral.